RNAcentral lists this ribosomal RNA (376 nucleotides) under uncultured bacterium. RNAcentral describes it as "bacterial SSU rRNA". It matches the Rfam family "Bacterial small subunit ribosomal RNA", at positions 521 to 896 of the family's 1533-position model. The record is from RNAcentral.
UAAGACGAACCGUGCAAACGUUGUUCGGAAUCACUGGGCUUAAAGGGCGCGUAGGCGGCUUGCCAAGUCGGGGGUGAAAUCCAGCAGCUUAACUGUUGAAGUGCCUUCGAUACUGGCAAGCUCGAGGAAGGUAGGGGUGCGCGGAACUUCUGGUGGAGCGGUGAAAUGCGUUGAUAUCAGAAGGAACGCCGGUGGCGAAAGCGGCGCACUGGACCUUUUCUGACGCUGAGGCGCGAAAGCUAGGGGAGCAAACGGGAUUAGAUACCCCGGUAGUCCUAGCCCUAAACGAUGAGUACUAGAUUGUGGACUUAACAUGGGUUCACAGUCGAAGCAAAAGUUUUAAGUACUCCGCCUGGGGAGUAUGGUCGCAAGGCUG